RNAcentral lists this long non-coding RNA (556 nucleotides) under Phasianus colchicus (ring-necked pheasant). RNAcentral's name for it is "lncRNA (ENSPCLG00000017985.1)". Lineage: Eukaryota; Metazoa; Chordata; Aves; Galliformes; Phasianidae. The record is from RNAcentral.
AAGAUGUCCCAGGUAGAAUGCCCAGUAUCAGUAAUACUUUUUUUUUGCUUGGUGUCUAUCUUUGCAGGUGAAAGAAGAGACCUGACCAGAAGAGUCCAGCUUUCUCAGUUUUGCCAAAGAUAUCUCAGAUUAAAGCAUUGACGUUGCACAUGUCUCUUGAGCAUGAAAGAUUGUUGAGAGAAGUCUGACUUGUGGGGUAACUUUUCACCAUGCAGGAGACUAAAAAUGGUCUGGCUGAUCUACAGCUCACACAUGUUGGUAAUUAAAGCAUCACUUAUUUGAUGCACCUGGCUGAACUCUUGAGUGGAACACAGAAAGUGGAAAGUUACUCUGUCUGCAUGGUAUUUUACUCCAAAAGAGAAGUAGCAAAAAUGGGAAUGAUUAACAACCAUUCCCUUGGAAGAUGCUGCACAGUAAUCACUUUGUGUUGCAACAGCUCCGUUGGAUUGUCCUGCUCAGCUCUUCAGGAAUUUUUGGAGGGAUUUCUUUGGUUUCUGAAACUAGUAUAAAGGUAAUGAAGCUUUUUAUCUAAUAAAAUAACAGCAAUUAAAAUUCA